RNAcentral lists this ribosomal RNA (497 nucleotides) under uncultured bacterium. Its description in RNAcentral is "partial 16S ribosomal RNA". It matches the Rfam family "Bacterial small subunit ribosomal RNA", at positions 28 to 507 of the family's 1533-position model. The record is from RNAcentral.
GAUGAACGCUGGCGGCGUGCCUAAUACAUGCAAGUCGAGCGAACGGACGAGAAGCUUGCUUCUCUGAUGUUAGCGGCGGACGGGUGAGUAACACGUGGAUAACCUACCUAUAAGACUGGGAUAACUUCGGGAAACCGGAGCUAAUACCGGAUAAUAUUUUGAACCGCAUGGUUCAAAAGUGAAAGACGGUCUUGCUGUCACUUAUAGAUGGAUCCGCGUUGCAUUAGCUAGUUGGUAAGGUAACGGCUUAUCAAGGCAACGAUGCAUAGCCGACCUGAGAGGGUGAUCGGCCACACUGGAACUGAGACACGGUCCAGACUCCUACGGGAGGCAGCAGUAGGGAAUCUUCCGCAAUGGGCGAAAGCCUGACGGAGCAACGCCGCGUGGGUGAUGAAGGUCUUCGGAUCGUAAAACUCUGUUAUUAGGGAAGAACAUAUGUGUAAGUAACUGUGCACAUCUUGACGGUACCUAAUCAGAAAGCCACGGCUAACUACGUG